Molecule: long non-coding RNA, 3834 nt
Organism: Solea senegalensis (Senegalese sole)
Lineage: Eukaryota; Metazoa; Chordata; Actinopteri; Pleuronectiformes; Soleidae
Exons: 5
Source: RefSeq, a predicted model, not a curated record
CACCUGGCCGUCCCCUACAGAUAGAGACAGAGAGAGACAGAGAGAGAGAGACCGAGACAGACGGGGAAGCAAACACAGCCACACGGAGACAGAUCGACAGAUGGAUGUGCCCUCAUCCAUGACAGCCACCCAAGCAUCGUGACCACGGAGUCCCCUGUCAAGACAGUGAUUGUACCUGGUACCUUGUACUUUUUUAGUAUCUGUCCUGGCGAGGUUCUAAGCGAGCUGAAUGUAGUUCCAGUACUUUUGUCCAUAACUUGAAGGACGUGCCUCACCGUCCAUGUCCAGUCUCUGCAUGAUAAUGGCCAGCUCCACUUCACUUGGCAUGUAACCGAGGGAGCGCAUGGCCAUGCCCAGCUCCUGUUUGGAGAUGAAACCAUUCCCGUCGCGAUCCAAAACACGGAAAGCCUCGCGGAUCUCUGCACGACAAAACACACAUGAUAUGCUGGGACCGGCUCAUUAUAUUUGGUAAGUUAUUCAGAAAAUUCUUUUAAUACUCACUGUAAGUGCAAUAAAUCUGCCUCGUAAUUAUGAUUGGUUGUUUGUUAAAAUUUCUGACACCAUGUUUAAUCCUUGUGUUUUAUGCGAUGUCUGCUAUAAUUGAAUUGUAAAUAGUGCUUAUUACACUGCUGGCACUCGUUUUUAAGCAAAAACACCAGCAGCAGUAUGUUUGUUUCUUGCAGUUAAAAUGACGUGUUCUCACAUUUUUCUUUUUGUGGUUGUGUGAAUAAUGGUUGUAUUCCCGGGAUUACUGUUCCCCAGGAGCAAAGGCAGGAGAUGUAAUAAUAGUGUCAGAAAAACCUCUCACGGGGGAAGUUGAGGUCGGUGAUUUUUUAACGACAUGUUUUUUCGCCCCCUCUUCUUAUGUUCAGCGUUCAAUCAUCACCACAAUCACUCUCCUCCAACCCUGCAGCAACAACACUCAAUAUUUUUUAAUAUCAACAGCUAAUUAAUAUUUAAGAGGUCGUGGUCAUGGUUUCACCACCUGACCAUGCAGGUCGCUUCAUCCAUAAAGAGUUUGACCUCGUCAUUCUCCAGCCCACAGCUUCACUGCUUUGUCUCACACUAAUUGUAAUAUUUUCAGCUGCAAAAACGACUCUGGAAAAACCCACAGGCUUCGUGCUUUGAGCAACAAACAAAAUAUGCAGCUUUAGAAGCCAAAGGGACACAUAUUCCUCAGCAGGUGGUUAGAGAAAACAUACAUGAAUGCAGCGUUGAUCCAAAACGGUUGUGUAAAUGUGUAAAAUCUCUGAUGUCUCCUGUGUCAACAGGUCUGUUGCUCAACUGCCAAGUGUCCAAGAAUUAAAUUACCCAUACGUAUGCUAUCAAAUGUGCGGAUCACCAAAUUUGGUGCAGCAGAGGAGGACACAACUGAGGAGGCAGCGUAUGAUCCUUUGUGGCAAUCCCCCUAAAUGGAGGAGCCGAAAGUAGAAGAAGAUUAGGGUUCCAUAUAAGCCUAUUACAUGUAUUUUAUCCUUCACAAAGGUCCACCAUUUUGUGGCAUUAUGUUUCUACGGCUGCCCGGAAUGGACAAACCAGCCAGAGCGUGCAUUUUACAUUUUGAGGCGGAAGGUUACGGUCCAGACUAAGAAGAAUGACGUCCUUACUGGUAAGUAUAAACCACAUCAUGUGAUGUGUCACAUCUAAUUGUUACACAAUGGAACUAGGACCUGGUCAGUGUGGUAAAGACACAGCGGUAGCAGUACGUUUCUUUUACGGGAGAUUUUUGAUUAUCGGGUGAGAUGACCAUCGAUGGAAACUCUGGAGUCAAUGAAGACAUUACAUGUCAUUGAAGACAGCUCGAAUCCAAGGAGAACUGAACAGUAAGACAUCAUCACAUCAUCUGUAGUUAAUAAGCCUUGAGAUCGUGUAUCUGGUCCAGAUGCCUGGCACCUUUGUAUCUGGUGAGGGAACCUUGAAAGGCACCUAAGUUAUGGCUGUUUAUAUUGAACUCUGGGCCUGGUAAUAAGAAUAUGUGCGUAAUUAAACUUAAAGUUGGCUGAAGAUUAAAAUGUUCUCUCCCAGUUUCCACAGAUAACAACCCUGAGAAAAGUGUAGUGAAAGCAAAGGCUUAAGGGGGAUCAAUAUCACUGCGGGUAUCUUCUUUUUUAUAUCACACUUUGCAAACAGUUUAAACGCUCUAAUAUAAAUAGUAUCUAUUUCAGCUUUAAUGCAGACGAACCAUGCAGCUUCAGUGUGCCAUAUACAUACACACUGGUCUGAAUUAUAGGAUUCAUUUGGAGCUAAUGUCGUUUUGACAAUAGGGACAUUAUAGUAGGUCAAAUACUCACAAUAUUGGAAGUCAAAUGACAAACAACCAACCUGCUGUCUCGGUUUCAGAUUGCUGUUGAUUUUUAACAAGCUGUAACCACAAACCGCUAUUUCGGUCUCGCGUCUUUGUCCUCGUAAAACGCAAUCUUCAAAUGUAAACAGCGGGCGUUCAGAUGGUGUCGGGGAGAUGGACUAAUCCGUGAGAUGAGAUUAAUGAUUAACAGAUUUCAGCAGGUCUGUUGAUGUUGCUCGAAGGUGCUUUCCCCCCUGGUGCAGAUAACAAACUUCCCCAUUAUAUGGAAGUACUACAGCUUUCCUGUCAGGCAAAUCAAGGUGAGGGUGAACUCCCACAGAGCCUCUCUCUCCCUCGCUCCCCCUCUUGCCCUCUCCUUGUUUGUACUACAUCUUUAUUUACUUAUGGCACCUUACAAACCCUGAGGACCUCAUCCCAAUCUCUCCGUGCAGCACAAUCACCACCAGCAUUGCCAGGAGCAUUUCCGACUCUCUCCUCCCACACAAAAGGCUUCCUCCUAACUUGAAAUUGGCAGCUGUUUGUGCAAUAGAAUCACUCAAACCUCCGAGAACCAUAAAAACUACUCAAUCACUGCUUAAUUACCUGUCAGUCAAUCUGCACUGAGGCGUAAAUUGAUGAAGGUGGAGUUUUGGGUUGGAGGUGAUUGAAUGUACUCGACAGCCAGAGACAGAUAGUCUUUAUUUGACAUCUUUGCACAUGUAAUUUUUCUGUGGACUUUUACACUUCGGGGGAUGAGAGACACAGCGCUUUGGCUGGGACUCAACUGAAACAAAACCAAAAGAAGAGUAAUAGUCCACUAAAUGGUGGAAUUUAAAUCACAAUUUCCCAAAGACUAAUCAUUUCCCUUACUAAAACAAUGAAUUUUACAUGACGUUCAACUCUCCCUUUCCCUUGCUCCCUCUGUUUUUCCCUCUCAGGCUUGUCAUUAAUAUUCUCGUCCAGACAAGCUGCUCCUUCCCUGCUCGCUGUAAUAAGUCUGCGUCUGAUCUGCCUUCCACGCUUGACUCUGCCCUGUAAGUUGAGUUGUGAGAGCCACUUGUGACCUGGUUCAUGAGCCAUGUGCAGAAAUAUGGGUGAGAUCGCAAACGAUUUAACAAUAAAAUAAAAUUUAAGGUUAAGGCAACUUUAUUAAGCCUUGUGGGGAAAUUCAUCCUCUGCGUUUUACCCAUCAUCAACUCACAACUUUCCGAGAACUAACAGCAGUGGGCAGCACCCAGGGACCAAAGGGUUAACCAAUUAUCAUUAACUAAUAAUUAAUAAACAACUACUAUGCUCGUCUGAGAAUGGACGGAUCUUUGGGCUGGGGAGCAUGAGGGAAAUGAGUGCACAACUCUCCGUGGACAGGAAAGUCAGGAUCAGUGUUAAGUGACCUUAAAGAUUAGUUACUGGUUAUUUAAUCAUUAAUGAUUAGUUAACCUUUUUGAGUAUAUUUUAUUGUGAAGUAUCACAGAAUUUGAUAGAUACUGUCAAUAAGAUAAAUCAUAAUCCAAUCCAAUUUAUUUAUAAAGUACAUUUAAAAAACAACAACA